UACAGGGGGUGCAAACGUUGCUCGGAAUUAUUGGGCGUAAAGCGCGCGUAGGCGGCCACUUAAGUCGGAUGUGAAAGCCCCUGGCUCGACUGGGGAAGUGCACCCGAAACUGAAUGGCUUGAAUGCAAAAGAGGGUCGCGGAAUUCCCGGUGUAGAGGUGAAAUUCGUAGAUAUCGGGAGGAACACCGGUGGCGAAGGCGGCGACCUGGGUUGACAUUGACGCUGAGGCGCGAAAGCGUGGGGAGCAAACAGG
RNAcentral lists this ribosomal RNA (253 nucleotides) under uncultured bacterium. RNAcentral's name for it is "partial 16S ribosomal RNA". It matches the Rfam family "Bacterial small subunit ribosomal RNA", at positions 524 to 776 of the family's 1533-position model. The record is from RNAcentral.